Molecule: ribosomal RNA, 301 nt
Filed under: uncultured bacterium
Lineage: Bacteria
Description: partial 16S ribosomal RNA
Rfam family: Bacterial small subunit ribosomal RNA
Source: RNAcentral
CAGUAGCCACGGUAAUACGGAGGAUCCGAGCGUUAUCCGGAAUUAUUGGGUUUAAAGGGUGCGUAGGCGGAUAGAUAAGUCAGUGGUGAAAGACGGUGGCUCAACCAUCGCAGUGCCGUUGAUACUGUUUAUCUUGAAUAUGGAUGAGGUAGGCGGAAUGUGGCAAGUAGCGGUGAAAUGCAUAGAUAUGCCACAGAACACCGAUUGCGAAGGCAGCUUACCAAGGCAAAAUUGACGCUGAGGCACGAAAGCGUGGGGAUCGAACAGGAUUAGAGACCCCUGUAGUCCCUGUCUCUUAUAA